Molecule: ribosomal RNA, 550 nt
Filed under: uncultured bacterium
Lineage: Bacteria
Description: bacterial SSU rRNA
Rfam family: Bacterial small subunit ribosomal RNA
Source: RNAcentral
AGUCGAACGAGAAAGUGGAGCAAUCCAUGAGUAAAGUGGCGACCGGGUGAGUAACACGUGACUACCUGCCCUUGAGUGGGGGAUAACUUCGGGAAACCGAGGCUAAUACCGCAUAACAUCGCAAGAUCAAAGGAGCAAUCCGCUGAAGGAGGGGGUCGCGGCUGAUUAGCUAGUUGGUGAGGUAACGGCUCACCAAGGCGAAGAUCAGUAGCCGGCCUGAGAGGGCGCACGGCCACACUGGAACUGAAACACGGUCCAGACUCCUACGGGAGGCAGCAGUGGGGAAUUUUGCGCAAUGGGGGAAACCCUGACGCAGCAACGCCGCGUGGAGGAUGAAGUCCCUUGGGAUGUAAACUCCUUUCGAUCGGGACGAUAAUGACGGUACCGGAGGAAGAAGCACCGGCUAACUCUGUGCCAGCAGCCGCGGUAAUACAGAGGGUGCAAGCGUUGUUCGGAAUUAUUGGGCGUAAAGGGCGCGUANGCGGUGCGGUAAGUCUGUGGUGAAAUCUCCGGGCUCAACUCGGAAAUUGCCAUAAAAACUGCCGUGCUG